UGGUUCUGGCAUCGAUGAAGAACGCAGCGAAAUGCGAUAUGUAAUAUGAAUUGCAGAAUUACAUGAUUAUCGAAUCUUUGAACGCACAUUGCGCCCCUCGGUAUUCCGACGGGCAUGCCUGUUCGAGCGUCAUUUUCACCCUCAAGCUUUGCUUGGUAUUGGGGGCAGGUCCCAGCGGCCUUCCCUCCAAAAAAUAGCGGCGGUCCGCUCUAGGGUCCCAGCGCAGUGACUUAAAAAUCUCGCUGAAAAGGAUUCCUGGGCGGCACCUGCCGGACAACAAAAAUUUUUUUCAAAGGUUGACCUCGGAUCAGGUAGGGAUACCCGCUGA
RNAcentral lists this unclassified non-coding RNA (328 nucleotides) under uncultured fungus. Its description in RNAcentral is "partial contains 5.8S ribosomal RNA and internal transcribed spacer 2". The stretch from base 1 to 132 matches the Rfam family "5.8S ribosomal RNA", at positions 22 to 154 of the family's 154-position model. Lineage: Eukaryota; Fungi. The record is from RNAcentral.